UUUAAGAAGGGACACAUGUUAAUUGAAAUGCAUUCCAGGUGACUACCUUGUGAAGCUGGUUGAGAAAAUGCCAAGAGGCAAAGGGUGGCUAUUUGAAGAAUCUGAAAUAUAUUUUUGAUUUAACACUUUUUUGGUUACUACAUGAAUCCACGUGUUAUUUCAUAGUUUGUCUUCACUAUUGUUCUACAAUGUAGGAAAUGGUAAAGUGCCCCUAGAGCAAAUUAGGGUUAAGUGCCUUGCUCAAGGACACGUCAACCAAAUUUUCACCUUGUUUACUCGUAUUCCAUCCAGAGACCUUUCGGUUACUGGCCCAACGCUGUAACCGUUAGGCUACCUGCCGCCCUGUACAUGUAUUACGUACUGUACACUGUGGACAAGCUACUAAACCUCUCUUCCUGCCAUCCCCAAAUCUAGUUGAGGCAAUGUCCCAAUGUCUGAGUCCACUCAAAUCUAAUAUCCCUCUCUCUGGAUGUAACAGUUCUCUCUGCCUUUCUUCCUUCUCUCCACAAGACGUGCCUUUAAGCUCUCUCUCACUCACCCAGCCACAGUGUGCAGAGAGACUGUUGAAACAUUUAGAGGCACUGAAGGAGCUGACAGACAGUGCGGAUGGGGUGGCACAUUCAUUUUCAAUUCAACUUAGGCGGGGGGUGUAAUUCUAUCCAAGUGGAGUGCUCUGCUGUGCCUGUGGAAGCCGCUCAGACUAGGUGGAGAAAAUAGGAUUCUACUCUAUUUUUGAAGUGGUGCCGUCGUUGUUGACCAAUCACAGUACAAAACAGCCUGCAUGUUGAGCCAUCAGCACGCACUGUAUGUCCAACAGUAGAACCAGAUUACUUGCCCACUCCAGCUAGCUAGCUAUCAGUUUAGAAUCAUUUUUAACAAUACAUAUCUUUGUUUUCUAAUACAUUUGUUUAUUCAUCAUUUCUGUUGCAUGUAAAUACGUUUUUACGCAAUCUUUGUUUAUUUUGAUGCAGUUCUCACCGCCAGCUGUCGCAUCGACUGUGGGCUGUUGCCCUUUGUGUGUGAAGGCACUAGCCGUGUUGACUAGAGGGACAAGUGGUGUGCUGUGCAGGGUAUUCUGCGAUAUUCCACUGACUAUCUGAAAAGCAUUAGAGUGUAUGAAGCAUAAAUAAAACAUGGAUUUUGCAUUAGAUUUUGCACUGUCUCAAUGCAAAGUUACACCUCACUUCUCUAUUUUACGAGUUAUUACUUAAUUAAAACCGAUAAGAAUUCUGAAUAAUGUUUCAAUCAUGUUGGAAGACUUUUUUCCGGGGGGUGAUGUAAGAUGGAGGGCCCGGCAAGCAAUCCUAAUGUGAACUCCCAACAAUUUUCAGCCAACUUACGAGCAAAUUUGUUAGGAAUGUAUUGUUACAAGUCAAGUUGAAAGGUUUUCACCAUUUCGUAGUAUUCAAUUGGUAGUUUGUCCAUUCGCUGCAACUCCCGUACAGACUCAGGAGAGGCGUCCUCCGAAACAUGACUCAACCAAGCCGCACUGCUUCUUGACACAAUGCCUGCUUAACCCGGAAGCCAUUCACACCAAUGUGUCAGAGGAAAUACAGGAUGCGUUCAAUUGUGAAUCUGUAAAAGUUUGAAGGUUUUAGGUGACAAGCCAAAUUUCUUUAGCCUUCUGAGGUUGAAGAGGCUCUGUUGCGGGGUAGCCUAGUGGUUAGAGCGUUGGACUAUUAACCAGAAGGUUGCAAGUUCAAAUCCCUGAGCUGACAAGGUACAAAUCUGUCGUUCUGCCCCUGAACAGGCAGUUAACCCACUGUUCCUAGGCCGUCAUUGAAAAUAAGAAUUUGUUCUUAACUGACUUGCCUAGUUAAAUAAAGGUAAAAUAAAAAAAUUCACCACACUGUGUGUGGGUGGUCCAUUUCAGUUUGUCAGUGAUGUGUACGCCCAGAAACUUGAAGCUCUCCACCUUCUCCACUGCGGUCCUGUCGAUGUAGAUAGGGGGGUGCACCCUCUGCUGUUUCCUGAAGUCCACGAUCAUCACCUUUGUUUUGUGGACUUUGAUUGAGAGGUUGUUUUCAAGGCACCACACUCCCAGAGCUCUCAUCACCUCCCUGUAGGCUAUCUCGUCAUCGUUGGUAAUCAAGCCCACUACUGUUGUGUUGAGUUGGAGGCGUGCUUGGUCAUGCAGUUAUGGGUGAACAGGAAGGACAGGAGGGGGCUGAGCACGCACCCUUGUGUGGUGCGGAUUAGUGGAGUGGAGGUGACAUUUCUUCACCACCUGGUGAAUUCCUGUCAGGAAGUCCAGGACCCAGUUGCCCAGGAUGGGGUUCAGAACCAGGGCCUCGAGCUUAAUGAUGAGCUUGAAUGGUACUAUGGUGUUGAAUGCUGAGCUGUAGUCAAUGAACAGCAUUCUUACAUAGGUAUUCCUCUUGUCCAGAUGGGAUAGGGUAGAGUGAUGGCGAUUGCAUCGUCUGUGGAUUUAUUGGGGCGGUAAGCAAAUUGAAGUGGGUCUAGGGUGUCAGGUAACUUAGAGGUGAUAUGAUCUUUAACUGGCUUCUCAAAGCACUUCAUGAUGACGAAGGUGCUACGGGGCGAUAGUCAUUAAGUUCAGUUAUCUUUGCCGCCUUGGCUACAGGAACAAUGGUGGCCAUCUUGAAGCAUGUGGGGACAGCAGAAUGGGAUAGGGAGAGAUUGAAUAUGCCCGUAACCACAGCAGCCAGCUGGUCUGUCCAUGCUCUGAGGACGCGGCUAGGGAUGCCGUCUGGGCCGGCAGCCUUGCGAGGGUUAACAUGUUUAAAUAUUGAAUGGGAGUGACGAGUGUGUUGAUAUAAUGGUAAUAUUUAAAUUCCACUUUUAACAACCGUCAUACUACUAUAAUAAGAAGAUUGUGGGAGCUGUACUGUUAGAUUUCAGUGCAGCCUUUUGAUAUUAUUGACCAUAACCUGUUGUUGAAAACUUUUGUUAUGGCUUUUCAACCUAUGCCAUAUUGUGGAUUCAGAGCUAUAUAUAUAAUAGAACUCAUGGUUUUCUUUAAUGGAAGCUUCUCUAAUGUCAAACAUGUAAAGUGUGGUGUACCGCAGGGCAGCUCUCUAGGCCUUCUACUCUUUUCUAUUUUUACCAAUGACCUGCCAUUAAACAAAGGAUGUGUCCAUGUAUGCUGUUGAUUCAACUAUAUACGCAUCAGCAAACACAGCUAAUGAAGUCACUGAAACCGUUAACCUCUCUGCACACGGAACCCGCUAGCGGGCUGAAAUUCCACAUCAUAUGGUGGUCGCUACAUAAAUAGUCAUAUUAAACAUUCACGAAAAUACAAGUGUCCCACAUGUAUCGAAAGCCUAGAAUCUUGCUAAUCCAACUGCGUUGACAGAUUUUUAAAAGGAUUUACUGCGAAAGGAUACGAUGCGAUUACCUGAGCAUAGAACCCAAUACAAUUAUAUUAUGCACAGGCGUAACAUAAUCACAAACUGCAUUAAAAUAAAUUAUUUACCUUUGACGAUCUUCGUCUGUUUGCAAUUCAAAUGCUCAUUGUUACACAAUGAAUGAUAUUUUGUUUGAUACAAUCCGUUUUUAUAGCCUAACACGAAACAUUUUGUGAACCGCUUGUGUCGUGAAUUCCGUCUCAUUCCAUUUUCGAUGACACAUUCCAGGUAAAUAACCCACGCAGAACGUGACUUUUCCAGUCAUGUUUGGCUUCACUGCAAUCAACUGGUUUGUUUGUAACACAAUCAAACGUGAUGGGCCAUUUCGCGGGACGUAUUGACUGAAAGAAACCAAUUUGAAGACAAGUCAUGACAUCAUUGUGCACCAAUGAUUUGCCCAAUGUUUUGUUGAUUGACUGUCUUUUAACCCAAUGACCACUGAUCGUCUUGAAAUCUAGCUGGGUAGAUAGCCAAUGAGCUGAGCUAAACGGAAAUACGCCAUGUUUAUGUGUUGCAAGACCAACCCAUGUAGUAAGCUCCAGCGUAAAGUGAGUCAUUCGCUAUUGAAGUUUCAUACCGUAAGAAGCUACGCAUAUUACGCACUGCAUUGUUUGGUGAAUGCGCAGAUUCAGCUGUUUAUAUAUCAAUCAUUACGGCGACUAAGUCAGGGAAAGCUAAAUCUAAGUCUAGAUAUACAGAUGUACACACAAUUUUAGAAUAAAUUGAUUGGGAAGGUGAGACAGACAUUGUUGUAGGACGCUUCAUUUAGCGAUUGUGGAGGAAUAUUUUUUUGAACGGGAGAGGACAUCGUUUUGGACUGGACCUGAGCCCUAGGACCAUGCGUCAGGACUACCUGGCAUGAUGACUCCUUGCUGUCCCCAGUCACCUGGCCUUGCCGCUGUUCCAGUUUCAACUGUUCUGCCUUCGGCUAUGGAACCCUAAAUUGUUCAUUUUUACUCUUGAGGUGCUGUCCUGUUGCACCCUCUACAACCACUGUGAUCUCCACCCGGUACAGCCAGAAGAGGACUAGCCACCCCUCAUAGCCUGGUUCCUCUCUAGGUUUCUUCCUAGGUUUUUGCCUUUCUAGGGAGUUUUUCCUAGCCACCAUGCUUCUACACCUGCAUUGCUUGCUGUUUGGGGUUUUAGGCUGGGGCUAUAUAAAUUUAUUUGAUUUGAUAGAGGACUGAGUGUCUUCCAAAUAUUGAAAGUGUGUAAAUAGUUACCCAUGUUAUUUUGUAAAUGUAUAUAUAUAUUUUUUCCAUAUGUUUUAAUCAAUAAUAAUUUUUUUACCCCAAAAAAUAAAAAUACAUUUCCUCAAUUUUUUUUGGGGGGGGUGUGUUAGAAUACCAUUUUGGUAUUUUGUAUAUAGUUAUUUGUUUCAAAAUGUUUACCUUCACCAAUUUGGCCACUUGGGUACAUUUGGGCUACUUGUGUGGGACACCUGGAUGACUUCAUGAUAAAUGUCAUGUAGCACACUCAUUUUGGAAGUUAUUAUUCUGAAACUUUGCACAAGUACUGUUGCCGUCUUAUAUUUUUCACUGAAAUUGUCCCCAUCUUAUCUGAAUGUUUGUUUUAUCUUGUUCAUUUUAAAGAUGAUACAAAAAUAAAAAUGUUUUUUUUUUCAUUGUUUUAUCUAAACCAG
Molecule: long non-coding RNA, 5010 nt
Organism: Oncorhynchus tshawytscha (Chinook salmon)
Lineage: Eukaryota; Metazoa; Chordata; Actinopteri; Salmoniformes; Salmonidae
Source: Ensembl